GAACGCAGCGAAAUGCGAUACGUAAUGCGAAUUGCAAGACCUCGUGAAUCAUUAAGAUUUUGAACGCACAUUGCGCUUUCGGGAUUUUCCCGGUAGCAUGCUUGUCUGAGUGUCUGUGGAUCCCACUCAGCACUGGUCUAUUCUGUAGGCUAGUCGC
Molecule: ribosomal RNA, 157 nt
Filed under: Pseudo-nitzschia delicatissima
Lineage: Eukaryota; Bacillariophyta; Bacillariophyceae; Bacillariales; Bacillariaceae
Description: 5.8S ribosomal RNA
Rfam family: 5.8S ribosomal RNA (bases 1-115)
About the family: 5.8S ribosomal RNA (5.8S rRNA) is a component of the large subunit of the eukaryotic ribosome. It is transcribed by RNA polymerase I as part of the 45S precursor that also contains 18S and 28S rRNA. Functionally, it is thought that 5.8S rRNA may be involved in ribosome translocation.
Source: RNAcentral